This 54-nucleotide microRNA precursor is filed under the name Chrysemys picta bellii (western painted turtle). RNAcentral describes it as "Cpi-Mir-34-P2b_pre stem-loop". Lineage: Eukaryota; Metazoa; Chordata; Testudines; Emydidae. The record is from RNAcentral.
AGGCAGUGUAGUUAGCUGAUUGCUAAAGGUACAAUCACUAACCACACAGCCAGG